AGAGUUUGAUCCUGGCUCAGGACGAACGCUGGCGGCGCGCUUAACACAUGCAAGUCGUGCGAUACCUCGAGCGAGUCUUACGACAAGCUCAAGGUAGAGCGGCGGACGGGUGAGUAACACGUGAGUAGCUGUCCUAAGGAGGGGGAUAACGCCUGGAAACGGGUGCUAAAACCCCAUAUGCCUCGCAAGAGGUGAAAGUGUAUUACUGCAGCCUUAGGGUGUGCUCACGGCCUAUCAGCUAGUUGGUGAGGUAAUGGCUCACCAAGGCUAAGACGGGUAGCCGGCCUGAGAGGGUGUACGGCCACACUGGAAUUGAGAUACGGUCCAGACUCCUACGGGAGGCAGCAGUGGGGAAUCUUGGGCAAUGGGCGAAAGCCUGACCCAGCGACGCCGCGUUGGGGAUGAAGCCCUUCGGGGUGUAAACCCAUGUUGUAGGGGACGAAGAAAGUGACGGUACCCUACGAGGAAGCCCCGGCUAACUACGUGCCAGCAGCCGCGGUAAGACGUAGGGGGCGAGCGUUGUCCGGAAUUACUGGGCGUAAAGGGCACGCAGGCGGUGCGCCAAGUCGAGGGUGUAAAGUUACGGCUCAACCGUGACAUUGCAAUCGAUACUGGCGCGCUGGAGUGCGGGAGAGGGAAGUGGAAUUCCCGGUGUAGCGGUGAAAUGCGUAGAUAUCGGGAGGAACGCCAGUGGCGAAGGCGGCUUCCUGGCCCGCGACUGACGCUCAUGUGCGAAAGCCAGGGGAGCGAACCGGAUUAGAUACCCGGGUAGUCCUGGCCGUAAACGAUGGGUGCUAGGUGUAGGCGCGUCAAGCGUCUGUGCCGAAGUUAACGCGAUAAGCACCUCGCCUGGGGAGUACGGUCGCAAGGCUGAAACUUAAAUGAAUUGACGG
This 893-nucleotide ribosomal RNA is filed under the name Synergistetes bacterium enrichment culture clone L55B-126. Its description in RNAcentral is "bacterial SSU rRNA". It matches the Rfam family "Bacterial small subunit ribosomal RNA", at positions 8 to 916 of the family's 1533-position model. Lineage: Bacteria; Thermotogati; Synergistota. The record is from RNAcentral.